This 449-nucleotide ribosomal RNA is filed under the name uncultured bacterium. RNAcentral describes it as "partial 16S ribosomal RNA". It matches the Rfam family "Bacterial small subunit ribosomal RNA", at positions 28 to 523 of the family's 1533-position model. The record is from RNAcentral.
GACGAACGUUGGCGGCGUGUCUAACACAUGCAAGUCGAACGAGACCUUCGGGUCUAGUGGCGCACGGGUGCGUAACGCGUGGGAAUCUGCCCUUCGGUUGGGAAUAACUGAGAGAAAUUUCAGCUAAUACCUUAUAAUGUCUUCGGACCAAAGAUUUAUCGCCGAGGGAUGAGCCCGCGUAGGAUUAGGUAGUUGGUGGGGUAAUAGCCUACCAAGCCGACGAUCCUUAGCUGGUCUGAGAGGAUGAUCAGCCACACUGGGACUGAGACACGGCCCAGACUCCUACGGGAGGCAGCAGUGGGGAAUAUUGGACAAUGGGCGAAAGCCUGAUCCAGCAAUGCCGCGUGAGUGAUGAAGGCCUUAGGGUUGUAAAGCUCUUUUACCCGGGAUGAUAAUGACAGUACCGGGAGAAUAAGCUCCGGCUAACUCCGUGCCAGCAGCCGCGGUAA